AAAUUUAACACCCAUUAGGUAUAAAAUGUCGAAUUUUAGGAAAAUUAAAGGCUAAAUUUUGCGAAUAAAAAAAAAUUGUAAAUUCAAAUCCGCUUCGUCAAACCAAUUUUUAAUUACGUUUUUUUAUAAAUUGUCGAAAUUAACACCCCUGCUCCGAAAAUAUAAUAUUAAAAUAAUAAAUUGGUUAAUUUUAAAUUCGUUUAAUUUAAUUUUGCCCUAAUAUUAUGGGAGGUUUUUUUUAUAUUACCGCAAACUGCAAUGUUAUUUUUUUUUAUCCGGACAAAUAUUAUAAUUCGGCAAAACGGCCAGCAGGAGAAUAUUAUUUUUCGAUAAUAGCCGAAAUUUUCCCUUUAUUAUACCUAUUUAAUUUUUUAAUUUAACAAAUAAAGGCCAUGCAAUUUUUCAGGGGUAUUUCCAUUUGUUAGGUAAUAUUAUAUAAAUUUAACGCGUAUAAAAAUAAAGUUAUAUCAAAUUCGGGGUUUGUUAAACGAUCGAAUAAAUUGUCCAUUAAUACCAACCUUUCCUUUUGUUUUUCAACCUGCCGUUACCUAUAAUAUUUAAAUUCCUUUUAUCGCAAAUUUAAAAUUAAAAUAUCGAAAUAAUCGAUCGGUCGGGCGUUACAAUUAAUUAGGUGGACGAGAAAAACGAUUCGUGGUAUUAUAUAAUAACGUAACGACGAUUUUCGAUAUUAUUACCUACACCGCAUUUUAUAAUACCAGUCGUGUCGGUUCGUUUUUACCGGGGGUCCGGUUGCGACAGGCGGGCUGGGUAUCGAUUUCGAGGUUAAUUUCCGAAAAAUAACCUUUAUUAUAAACGUUAAUUAGGUUCGUUAUAGCCCUAUUAAUUUGUUGCACGGUUAUUUAAAUUAUUCCAAAUUUAAAAUUUUAAAUAAA
This 893-nucleotide small RNA is filed under the name Pyricularia oryzae. Its description in RNAcentral is "Magnaporthe oryzae sRNA M_BR32_EuGene_00102501". The record is from RNAcentral. Lineage: Eukaryota; Fungi; Ascomycota; Sordariomycetes; Magnaporthales; Pyriculariaceae.